Molecule: ribosomal RNA, 225 nt
Filed under: uncultured bacterium
Lineage: Bacteria
Description: partial 16S ribosomal RNA
Rfam family: Bacterial small subunit ribosomal RNA
Source: RNAcentral
AGUAACGCGUGGGUAACCUGCCUUGUACAGGGGGAUAACAGUUGGAAACGGCUGCUAAUACCGCAUAAGCGCACAGCAUCACAUGAUGCAGUGUGAAAAACUCCGGUGGUAUAAGAUGGACCCGCGUUGGAUUAGCUAGUUGGUGAGGUAACGGCCCACCAAGGCGACGAUCCAUAGCCGACCUGAGAGGGUGACCGGCCACAUUGGGACUGAGACACGGCCCAG